AUUGAACGCUGGCGGCAGGCCUAACACAUGCAAGUCGAGCGGAUGAAGGGAGCUUGCUCCUGAAUUCAGCGGCGGACGGGUGAGUAAUGCCUAGGAAUCUGCCUGGUAGUGGGGGAUAACGUCCGGAAACGGGCGCUAAUACAGCAUACGUCCUGAGGGAGAAAGUGGGGGAUCUUCGGACCUCACGCUAUCAGACGAGCCUAGGUCGGAUUAGCUAGUUGGUGGGGUAAAGGCCUACCAAGGCGACGAUCCGUAACUGGUCUGAGAGGAUGAUCAGUCACACUGGAACUGAGACACGGUCCAGACUCCUACGGGAGGCAGCAGUGGGGAAUAUUGGACAAUGGGCGAAAGCCUGAUCCAGCCAUGCCGCGUGUGUGAAGAAGGUCUUCGGAUUGUAAAGCACUUUAAGUUGGGAGGAAGGGCAGUAAGUUAAUACCUUGCUGUUUUGACGUUACCAACAGAAUAAGCACCGGCUAACUUCGUG
Molecule: ribosomal RNA, 484 nt
Filed under: uncultured bacterium
Lineage: Bacteria
Description: partial 16S ribosomal RNA
Rfam family: Bacterial small subunit ribosomal RNA
Source: RNAcentral